GGUUAAGCGACUAAGCGUACACGGUGGAUGCCCUGGCAGUCAGAGGCGAUGAAGGACGUGCUAAUCUGCGAUAAGCGUCGGUAAGGUGAUAUGAACCGUUAUAACCGGCGAUUUCCGAAUGGGGAAACCCAGUGUGAUUCGUCACACUAUCAUUAACUGAAUCCAUAGGUUAAUGAGGCGAACCGGGGGAACUGAAACAUCUAAGUACCCCGAGGAAAAGAAAUCAACCGAGAUUCCCCCAGUAGCGGCGAGCGAACGGGGAGGAGCCCAGAGCCUGAAUCAGUGUGUGUGUUAGUGGAAGCGUCUGGAAAGGCGCGCGAUACAGGGUGACAGCCCCGUACACAAAAAUGCACAUGCUGUGAGCUCGAUGAGUAGGGCGGGACACGUGGUAUCCUGUCUGAAUAUGGGGGGACCAUCCUCCAAGGCUAAAUACUCCUGACUGACCGAUAGUGAACCAGUACCGUGAGGGAAAGGCGAAAAGAACCCCGGCGAGGGGAGUGAAAAAGAACCUGAAACCGUGUACGUACAAGCAGUGGGAGCACGCUUAGGCGUGUGACUGCGUACCUUUUGUAUAAUGGGUCAGCGACUUAUAUUCUGUAGCAAGGUUAACCGAAUAGGGGAGCCGAAGGGAAACCGAGUCUUAACUGGGCGUUAAGUUGCAGGGUAUAGACCCGAAACCCGGUGAUCUAGCCAUGGGCAGGUUGAAGGUUGGGUAACACUAACUGGAGGACCGAACCGACUAAUGUUGAAAAAUUAGCGGAUGACUUGUGGCUGGGGGUGAAAGGCCAAUCAAACCGGGAGAUAGCUGGUUCUCCCCGAAAGCUAUUUAGGUAGCGCCUCGUGAAUUCAUCUCCGGGGGUAGAGCACUGUUUCGGCAAGGGGGUCAUCCCGACUUACCAACCCGAUGCAAACUGCGAAUACCGGAGAAUGUUAUCACGGGAGACACACGGCGGGUGCUAACGUCCGUCGUGAAGAGGGAAACAACCCAGACCGCCAGCUAAGGUCCCAAAGUCAUGGUUAAGUGGGAAACGAUGUGGGAAGGCCCAGACAGCCAGGAUGUUGGCUUAGAAGCAGCCAUCAUUUAAAGAAAGCGUAAUAGCUCACUGGUCGAGUCGGCCUGCGCGGAAGAUGUAACGGGGCUAAACCAUGCACCGAAGCUGCGGCAGCGACGCUGAUGCGUUGUUGGGUAGGGGAGCGUUCUGUAAGCCUGUGAAGGUGUACUGUGAGGUAUGCUGGAGGUAUCAGAAGUGCGAAUGCUGACAUAAGUAACGAUAAAGCGGGUGAAAAGCCCGCUCGCCGGAA
Molecule: ribosomal RNA, 1302 nt
Filed under: Escherichia coli
Lineage: Bacteria; Pseudomonadati; Pseudomonadota; Gammaproteobacteria; Enterobacterales; Enterobacteriaceae
Description: partial 23S ribosomal RNA
Rfam family: Bacterial large subunit ribosomal RNA
Source: RNAcentral